Molecule: ribosomal RNA, 463 nt
Filed under: uncultured bacterium
Lineage: Bacteria
Description: bacterial SSU rRNA
Rfam family: Bacterial small subunit ribosomal RNA
Source: RNAcentral
GGGCCCGCACAAGCGGAGGAGCAUGUGGUUUAAUUCGAUGAUACGCGAGGAACCUUACCUAGGCUUAAAUGUAGUACGACCUCUGCCGAAAGGUGGAUUUCGCAAGACGGACUACAAGGUGCUGCAUGGUUGUCGUCAGCUCGUGCCGUGAGGUGUCGGGUUAAGUCCCAUAACGAGCGCAACCCCUAUUCUUAGUUGCCAUCGGGUAAUGCCGGGAACUCUAAGAAAACUGCCUACGCAAGUAGUGAGGAAGGUGGGGAUGACGUCAAAUCAGCACGGCCCUUAUGCCUAGGGCUACACACGUGCUACAAUGGGCGGUACAGAGGGCAGCUACCAGGCGACUGGAUGCAAAUCUCAAAAACCGUUCUCAGUUCGGAUCGGAGUCUGCAACUCGACUCCGUGAAGUUGGAUUCGCUAGUAAUCGCGCAUCAGCCUUGGCGCGGUGAAUACGUUCCCGGGCCUU